Non-coding RNA from Chinchilla lanigera (long-tailed chinchilla), 369 nucleotides. The record is from the annotation of a RefSeq genome assembly. Lineage: Eukaryota; Metazoa; Chordata; Mammalia; Rodentia; Chinchillidae.
AUGGAGCUUGUGCUGAGCUGGGUUUUUCUUGUUGCUGCUUUAAACGGUGUCCAGGCUGAGGUGCAGCUGGUGGAGUCCGGGGGAGGCUUGGUGCAGCCUGAGACAUCUCUGAGACUCUCCUGUGUAUCCUCUGGAUUCACCUUCAGUGACUACUGCAUGGACUGGUUCCGCCAGGCUCCAGGGACGGGGCUGGAGUGGGUUGGUUUUAUUAGAAACAAGGCUAAUAGUCACACAACAGAAAACGCUGCAUCAGUGAAAGGCAGAUUCACCAUCUCCAGGGAUGACUCCAAAAUCACAGUGUAUCUGCAAAUGACCAAAUUGAAAACCGAGGACACAGCUGUAUAUUACUGUACCAGAGACGCAGUGUGA